Molecule: transfer RNA, 75 nt
Filed under: Aurantimicrobium minutum
Lineage: Bacteria; Bacillati; Actinomycetota; Actinomycetes; Micrococcales; Microbacteriaceae
Description: tRNA-Thr
Rfam family: tRNA
About the family: Transfer RNA (tRNA) molecules are approximately 80 nucleotides in length.
Source: RNAcentral
GCCCCGAUAGCUCAGUGGUAGAGCACUUCCAUGGUAAGGAAGGGGUCGCGAGUUCAAUCCUCGCUCGGGGCCCGA